This 118-nucleotide ribosomal RNA is filed under the name Pteropus alecto (black flying fox). Lineage: Eukaryota; Metazoa; Chordata; Mammalia; Chiroptera; Pteropodidae. The record is from RNAcentral.
GAGUCUCCCAUGCUACCCUGAACAAGCCCGAUCCCGUCUGAUCUCGGAAGCUAAGCAGGGUCGGGCCUGGUUAGUACUUGGAUGGGAGACCACCUAGGAAGACCAGGUGCUGUACGCA